Molecule: long non-coding RNA, 5403 nt
Filed under: Sarcophilus harrisii (Tasmanian devil)
Lineage: Eukaryota; Metazoa; Chordata; Mammalia; Dasyuromorphia; Dasyuridae
Description: lncRNA (ENSSHAG00000024085.1)
Source: RNAcentral
CUAUUUAUGACUCUUGUCUUUUGCAAAUAAAAGAUGAUUCUGUUUAAAGCCACUCCAUGGAUGUUUUAGGGAUUUGGGAAAUGUAGUAGAAGCAAUAAUAAUCAUUUGUAUAGUACUUUAAAGUUUGCAAAGCACAUUACAAAAAUUUCACUUCAGAACAACCCUGAGAGGUUGGUGCUAUUAUCCUAUUAUUAUGCUAUUAUUUUGUAGAUGCUAAAUGACUGACUUAGAAGCAACUUAGUUUCUAAGGCUGGAUUUAAACUCAUGCUUUCCAAAUCCAGACUCAGCAUUUUAUCCAUAUGUGUAUAAUUUAAGUUGUCCUAGUCCAGUCAUAUCGAAACUAAAUGGCAUUGAUCAUUUGAACUGUAAAAAACAAGAUUUCCAAAUGAAUUUAAUUUCAUGACAAUGCAUGGUAGUUUAUCCAGGAUACCCCGUUUGAUUAAAUAUUUAGGUAAACUGAGAAUAGCCAUAAAUCAUGGCCAGUUUAAAAAGAAUUAGACUAUAAAAGCUUACACUUUGUCAUUCUGAUAACUGAGGAGGCAUUUCAGGUGCUUUGGUAGAACUGGGACUCUGGGUGAGUUUUAAUAGCACUCCAAAGCUUUGAACUCUCUCACUCUAGCACAUAAUACUGGACUGAUUACUGGGUGAUCACAUAGGACUGUUGUGGAGAAGAUUCUAUUUAAGCAUUGAUUGUACUAAUUGGACUCUGAGGUCCUUUACAACUAUGAUUCUUUGUGAAGACCUGUUUAGAUUUGGGGGCCACUUAGAAUACCAUUUAUACAAAUUGUUAACAGCAUCUUAAUAUGUUAAGUGCUUAGAAUGUGAUGUUUGUCAUGUGCUUAGCAUAGUGCCAGGUACUCUGAAGGAGCUUAAUAAGUGCUUUCCCCUCUUUACCUCCUAUAAUGUUCUGGAUGCCAGGAAUACAAAAGUAAAAUUGACACAACCCCUGCCCUCAAAGAUCUUACAUUCUUUUGGGGAAAUAUUUACACACAAAGGCAUAUACAAAAGCUACUUUUCCAAAGCGCUUAUUAGCCAUUAAAAAGGGUUCAAAAGUCGUAUGAACUUGUCAUCUAAAGGCUUUUUGCUGAACUUUGAAUUCUUGUUGCACAUUCUGAUGUCAUGAUGUAAUGGGAGAAGCUCAGGCUUGGGAGGCAAAAGAAACAGCUCUCUCUAUACAUUGAAGGAAGGGAUUGCAUUAUAUGGUUAGUAAAGUCCCUUUCCCUAGUUCUAACCUAAUUCCAUUAUGAUCAUAAUGGCCUGGCUCAGUGACUAACAUUUUUAGUGACCUUGGAGAAGUUACUUUAACCCUUUUAGUCCAAAUAGGCAUUGAGUAGGGACUUAAUUAUGUGCCAGAAACUGCUAAGUACUAAGAAUAAAAAAACAAAAUUCAGAUUGUCUUUGCUCUCAAAGAGCUUCUCCCUUUGUAGCUCUAACAUUCCAUGGUUUAUAAUUUCAUUUGUUUCUUCCCUCCUCCGACCCAUGCUGAUGGCUAUCCCUCCACACCUUAAUAGGUGAUUUCAUGAAUUGUUAUAUGGAGGGAAAAAUAACAUGAGGGCUUUUCUUCUGGUGAUAAGUCUGAACUUAGCUAGACUGAUUUUCAGACAACAGAUAUAUGAAGUACAUCACUGGGUCCAUGUUAGAAACCCUUUUCUGGUUGGCAGGACCUUAUAGGACUUGUUUACUUUGGUCAAACUUAACAUUUGAGGUUACCCGAGAAUUGCAAUAGGGUAUUAGGGUAUUAGACCUAACAUCAGAUUUUAAUUGAUCACCAAAUCAAUACCUACAUGGCUCAGGAUUUCAUUAUAUUAAAGAUUUGUUUAUUAAAAGGAAAUCAAAAUGUGUUUCUUUUUGUGGUGUUCUUCAGUUGUCGUGCUCUGAGGAGUUAUUUACCUUGCCUACCCCUAGCUCUAGAUCAGCUUCAGGGUCCCCAUGCAUCUGAAUUAUUAUUAUAUAAUCCUGGGAGGAGAAAGUAUUCUGUUUGUUGACAGAAAUUUGUUUGGAUUCUAGAUAAAUGGGAGGUUUAAAAAUUUCAUAUUCAUCUAUAUUUCUAUGUGUAUGUAUAUGUCAUGUGUAUGUGUAUAUAUAUACAAACACACACAAAACAUACAUAUACACACAUCUACACAUAUGCAUGCACACAUGUGUAUACAUAUAUAUGUAUUUACAUAUAUGUGCAUACAUUAAGCAAUUGUGUUAGAUCUCAGCUAUCACCUUUGCCAAAUGCUCAUCAAUCAUCUUCCUUAGCAGUAGUGAUUUGUGAUAAUGCUAAUUAUGGAAUGUUUAAUGCCUCCCAGCCUGGCUCCAUGAUUUAUUUUAUAUGAGUAGUACUUCUCCUGACACAGACUGCAGCUCUCUAAGCAUUCAAUAAAUGGUCUUUGAGAGUUACUGGACCAGAAGGAUUUAUCACUCUGUAAGUUGUCAUUGGACCUGUACUCAAAGCCUUUGCAGCUUGCUCAAGUAUCUUCCCUGCUUGUACUUAGCUGGUGGGCCUUAAGGUCUCAGAUUUUCCUGAGACUUCUAUAUUGAGAUGAAUCAUUAAUUUAAGACUUUAGAGGAGGGAAGGCAAAAAUAAAGGAAAGCCAGAGAUAAUCUCUAAACCAACCUAUCUUCAGAACUGUAAUAAGUAGUCAACAAUUCUCUUCAUAGGAAUACCAAAAGCAAUCUCUAGUUAGCUGCUUUCACCACAAUACUCAUUAGCUAUGGAUAAAGAACACUUAUGUACAUAAUAUCAAUAUACCACCUAGCAGGGGUCCUCAAACUAUGGUCCACGGGCCAGAUGCGGCAUCUGAGGAUGUUUAUCCCCCUCACUCAGGGCUAUGAAGUUUCUUUAUUUAAAGGCCCACAAAACAAAGUUUUUGUUUUUACUAUAGUCCUGCCCUCCAACAGUCUGAGGGACAGUGAACUGGCCCCCUAUUUAAAAAGUUUGAGGACCCCUGUUAUAGUAUGGUCUUUUUCAUUUUUAGUUUAGUUUUGUUUGUUUGCUUGUUUGUUUUGGAGGCAACUAGGGUUAAGUGACUUGCCCAGAGUCAAAUACUAGUAAGAUUGUGAGAUUGGAGUUGAAAUCAGGUCCUCCUGACUCCAGGGACUAACUGCCCCUAAUAUGGUCUUUUCUAUGGACCCUCAUGCCUUACUUACACCUUUAAUUCUAAGACUGGUAUAUAUUCACCCUUAACUGCCUCAUAUAGAGAGAACUCUUAUAUUCAAUGUACCUAUUCUUAAAAUUAAGCAUAUUUCAUAGCAAUACACACAUUCUGGGCAAUUUAGGGAUAGGGAUCAUACUUGUGGUGUUAUUGAUGUGGGGAACUCUCCAGUGCUUCCAUUAAUGUAGUCUGGUACUCUUCUCCACACCUUAAACUUGUCUUACUUCACAGAGUCAACAUAAAUGUGUAAAAGAGGGAACUUGGACCCAAUUUUUUUCUGGUCUAAGGCCCAUUUUUUAUGUUGCAGCAAAUAAAGCAGCAGCUAAAACACUCCAUUUUCAGACACACACAUGUGUGUGUACAUAUAUUAUACAAACAUAUGCAUGCAUAUAUGUAUGUGUGCACAUAUAUUAUACAUAUCUAUAUUAUGUAUAUGUAUAUCUACAUAUAUUGUUGUUUUAUCAUUCAGUCAUGUCUGACUCUGUGGCCCCAUGGACACUGGAUGUGAGAUAUUGGAGUAAUUUCCUAUUUCUUUCUCCUCAUUUUACAGAUGAGGAACUGAGGCAAAUAGGAUGUAAGUGAUUUGCCCAGGAUCACACAGUUAGUCUCUGAAGCUGAAUUUCAAUUCAGAUCUUCUUGACUACAGGCUUGGUGCUCUAGCCAUUGUACCACCUAGCUGCCAUUUAUAUAUACAUAUGUACAUGUACAUAAAAAUAUAUAUUUACAAUAUAUCUUGGUGUAUGUAUAUAUGUAUAUUUAGAGAGACAUAUAUAGCCUUUUCAAUUUGAAAGUGAAGUUCUGAUUCGAUACUUUGUGAUUAGUAAGAGGAAGUAUUUUAAUUUCCACUUUAUAGAUGAAAAUUGAGGCUCAAAGAGAUUUGAUUUGCUUAAGAUAACAUAGUACAUAAAUAAGAAGCUAUACCCAUACUUUGUUUUAUCAUAAGUGAUAAUUGAAGCCUCUUUUAUUACCUUAUGUUCACCUCUGCAUGUUGGAAACUUAUCUUUUUUUUUUUUUUAAAGUGUUUGGAUAUCAGUGUAACACUCACAAAGUCUAUCUGUUAUUCUUUCUGUUUCAUCAUAUGACUAAAAUAGUCAUUCAACAAGCAUUUAUUAAACUCUUCUUGUACACCAGGUAUAUUUUUACACCAGGUCCAUCUUAUUUUAUGAUCACUUACAUUCAUUUAUUUGUCCCUACCAGUGACAAUAUACCAUAACCUACUUAUCUCUACCAUAUACUUUUCCAUUACCCUUUAUGUCACCCAGAGUUUUGAUUCUAUUGAGAUCACAACAUUAUGUAAUUAAUCAUGACACUUGAUUUUAAAAAGUGAGCUUCUGUGGCAGAGAAUAUCUGAAGAUACUCAAUACUGAAUACUUUUCCAAGUGCAAUUUCUCUUUUUCAGUUUUAGAUCCAACUUACUGUCCACCAGAAAGAGCUAUCCAAAUCAACUGAUGAAAGAAGGUGGGAGGGAAGGAAGGAAAGAGAAAAAAAGAAAGAGAAAGAUCCUUGUAACAAUUAUGCAUAGUUAAGCAACAUGAACUCCACCAUUUGUCAUGUCCAAAAUAUGUGCCUCAUUCUGCAUGUUGAGCCCAUCACCAUGUUGAAAGGAUAAAGACACAAAGGACCAACAGAGAUGGAGAAGAAAGAGGGCUGGGCAGGAAAAGAGAGCAGGUUGGAAAUGUAUGCUUCUUUGUAUCACUCAGUGCUUAGCAUAAUGCCUAUCACCUGCAAAGCACAUUUUAAAAAUCCCAUCUACUUUGUCUCCCCAGCAUUGAGUAUAGUGUCUCUGCUUAGUCAAUGUUCAUUUAUUCUUUUCCAGGGGAGAAAGAAGACUGAGCAGUGACCCUAGAGACAGAGACCUAGAUUUUAAUUCUAGCUUUUCUCCUUCCUAUCUAUAUGACCCAAGAAUUAUUACAACUCAAUUUCUUUAAAAUGAAAAGUGAUAUUAGAUGAUCUUUAAGUGCUGGUAAUGAUUAAACACAAGUUUUCCAAAACAGAACACCACACUUUCAAAUAUAAUCUAUGUUAUUAACAUUUCCCCCCACACUUUCUUAAGCCUAGACAAUCAACUAAACAAUAAAUCAAGGCUAAUUUGUAGUGUUUAUCUAUUUCAAGGGUAUAAAUGCCUCAAGUGAAAAUUUUACAAAAGGUUUUUUUAAAAAGUGAGCUGUUUUUAGCAAACCUUUGGGAGUCAGUGAUUCUCACUAAAUAGAACUUUAAGGAACCAGCACAGGUCCUGAAGUGCCAGUUGGAGCAGGAGGGACGG